GAUGAACGCUGGCGGCGUGCCUAACACAUGCAAGUCGAGCGAGAUAAAUGUGAGUGGAGACUUCGGUCAAAGCAAUCAUUUUGAAAGCGGCGGACGGGUGAGCAACGCGUGAGCAAUCUGCCCCAUACAAAGGGAUACCCACUGGAAACGGUGAUUAAUACCUUAUAAGACCACGAAGUCGCCUGGCUUAGUGGCCAAAGAUUUAUCGGUAUGGGAUGAGCUCGCGUCUGAUUAGCUAGUUGGUGAGGUAAUGGCUCACCAAGGCGACGAUCAGUAGCCGACCUGAGAGGGUGAACGGCACACUGGAACUGAUACACGGUCCAGACUCCUACGGGAGGCAGCAGUGGGGAAUAUUGCACAAUGGGCGCAAGCCUGAUGCAGCAACGCCGCGUGAAUGAUGAAGGCCUUCGGGUCGUAAAGUUCUGUCUUCAGGGACGAUAAUGACGGUACCUGAGGAGGAAGCCACGGCUAACUACGUGCCAGCCGCCGCAGUAA
RNAcentral lists this ribosomal RNA (495 nucleotides) under uncultured bacterium. RNAcentral describes it as "partial 16S ribosomal RNA". It matches the Rfam family "Bacterial small subunit ribosomal RNA", at positions 28 to 523 of the family's 1533-position model. The record is from RNAcentral.